This 497-nucleotide ribosomal RNA is filed under the name uncultured bacterium. RNAcentral describes it as "partial 16S ribosomal RNA". It matches the Rfam family "Bacterial small subunit ribosomal RNA", at positions 28 to 507 of the family's 1533-position model. The record is from RNAcentral.
GAUGAACGCUGGCGGCGUGCCUAAUACAUGCAAGUCGAGCGAACAGACGAGGAGCUUGCUCCUCUGACGUUAGCGGCGGACGGGUGAGUAACACGUGGAUAACCUACCUAUAAGACUGGGAUAACUUCGGGAAACCGGAGCUAAUACCGGAUAAUAUAUUGAACCGCAUGGUUCAAUAGUGAAAGACGGUUUUGCUGUCACUUAUAGAUGGAUCCGCGCCGCAUUAGCUAGUUGGUAAGGUAACGGCUUACCAAGGCAACGAUGCGUAGCCGACCUGAGAGGAUGAUCGGCCACACUGGAACUGAGACACGGUCCAGACUCCUACGGGAGGCAGCAGUAGGGAAUCUUCCGCAAUGGGCGAAAGCUUGACGGAGCAACGCCGCGUGAGUGAUGAAGGUCUUCGGAUCGUAAAACUCUGUUAUUAGGGAAGAACAAAUGUGUAAGUAACUAUGCACGUCUUGACGGUACCUAAUCAGAAAGCCACGGCUGACUACGUG